UUUAUUGAUGUUGAAUUUUGGUAUUGGAUACUUUGGUUUCUUAGUUUUAUAGUAAAGAUUUGUACUUGCUUUGAGGAGGAACCUAUGCAAAGUUUAGGUUUAUUUAGUGUGUCCUGUUAGAUGUGGAGAGUUUAGAUGGUGUAUUGGAGGAGAUGAGGUAUGUUAUCUGGAUUAAUGAACUACUUGAGGGCUUGUUUUCAGCCAAGGGCCAAUCGACACGUUCAUACAGGUUCUGAUGCCAGUGGACGUCAAGAUGGGCUACUAUGGUACAAGGAUACAGGGCAACAUUUUAAUGGAGACUUCUCAAUGGCUGUAGUUCAGGCUAAUAAUCUAUUAGAGGAUCAGAGCCAAGUUGAAUCAGGGUGUUUGGGAUUGAAUGAUUCAGGUCCUUAUGGUACCUUUGUUGGAAUUUAUGAUGGACAUGGUGGCCCUGAGACUUCAAGGUUCAUCAAUGAUAACCUCUUUCAGCAUCUCAAGAGGUGUACAUCUGACCAGCAAACUAUGUCUGUGGAGGUGAUCCGGAAGGCAUUUCAAGCCACAGAAGAGGGUUUCCUCUCUAUUGUCACAAGGCGAUGGCCAACACAACCUCAGAUUGCUGCUGUUGGAUCAUGCUGCCUUGUUGGAGUAAUCUGCAGUGGGACAUUAUAUGUUGCCAACCUUGGCGACUCUCGAGCAGUCUUGGGGAGGCUUGUCAAGGCAACUGGAGAGAUUAUUGCUAUACAGCUUUCUGCA
Molecule: unclassified non-coding RNA, 732 nt
Filed under: Hevea brasiliensis (rubber tree)
Lineage: Eukaryota; Viridiplantae; Streptophyta; Magnoliopsida; Malpighiales; Euphorbiaceae
Source: RNAcentral